UUUAUGUGGAGGCCAAAGCAAGACAGUCAGCCAGUAAUGGCACACUUCAGUCCAGUUGGUGGCAGUAAUGCACCUUAAGUUGGUUUGCCAACCACCAUUAAACAAAAGAAGAAGAAGAGCCAACCAGUGAAUCACUGAGAGUUGUUUGUUGAAAAAUCUUGUCUGCAUUUCUUCUGUGAGACUGGAUCCAUCCAGUGGGUCUGCAAGAGAUGUUUUCAAAUGCAGCAGAAUAUCUGGUGUUCAACUAGCCAAGAAUCAUCGAAUGGAAAGAUUCUCUCAUCAGAUUGGAUGGC
This is a long non-coding RNA of Polypterus senegalus (gray bichir), 293 nucleotides long. RefSeq lists it as uncharacterized. NCBI's taxonomy places the organism in Eukaryota, Metazoa, Chordata, Cladistia, Polypteriformes, Polypteridae. The transcript has 4 exons. The record is from RefSeq and is a predicted model, not a curated record.